Molecule: ribosomal RNA, 1004 nt
Filed under: uncultured bacterium
Lineage: Bacteria
Description: bacterial SSU rRNA
Rfam family: Bacterial small subunit ribosomal RNA
Source: RNAcentral
UCCCGNUGCCAGCAGCCGCGGUAAUACGGGAGGUGGCAAGCGUUAUCCGGAAUUAUUGGGCGUAAAGCGUCCGCAGGCGNNNUUCAAGUCUGCUNUAAAACGUGGAGCUUAACUCCAUCAUGGCAGUGGAAACUGUUGGGCUUGAGUGUGGUAGGGGCAGAGGGAAUUCCCGGUGUAGCGGUGAAAUGCGUAGAUAUCGGGAAGAACACCAGUGGCGAAGGCGCUCUGCUGGGCCAUAACUGACGCUCAUGGACGAAAGCCAGGGGAGCGAAAGGGAUUAGAUACCCCUGUAGUCCUGGCCGUAAACGAUGAACACUAGGUGUCGGGGGAAUCGACCCCCUCGGUGUCGUAGCCAACGCGUUAAGUGUUCCGCCUGGGGAGUACGCACGCAAGUGUGAAACUCAAAGGAAUUGACGGGGGCCCGCACAAGCGGUGGAGUAUGUGGUUUAAUUCGAUGCAACGCGAAGAACCUUACCAGGGUUUGACAUCCUGCGAACCUCUUGGAAACGAGAGGGUGCCUUCGGGAGCGCAGUGACAGGUGGUGCAUGGCUGUCGUCAGCUCGUGUCGUGAGAUGUUGGGUUAAGUCCCGCAACGAGCGCAACCCACGUCUUUAGUUGCCAGCAUUUAGUUGGGCACUCUAGAGAGACCGCCGGUGAUAAACCGGAGGAAGGUGUGGAUGACGUCAAGUCAUCAUGCCCCUUACAUCCUGGGCUACACACGUACUACAAUGCUACGGACAAAGAGCAGCAAGUUCGCGAGGACAAGCAAAUCUCAUAAACCGUGGCUCAGUUCAGAUCGUAGGCUGCAACUCGCCUACGUGAAGGAGGAAUCGCUAGUAAUCGCAGGUCAGCAUACUGCGGUGAAUACGUUCCCGGGCCUUGUACACACCGCCCGUCACACCAUGGAAGUUGGCCACGCCCGAAGCCGUUACUCCAACCCUUGUGGAGGAGGACGUCGAAGGUGGGGCUGAUGACUGGGGUGAAGUCGUAACAAGGUAACCGUA